AUUUGCCCACAGCUGUGGUAGCUUCUGUGUCUGCUUGUUCCCAGGCAUGCUCCUGCCUUGGCCCCAGCCUUCCCUUAUGCCAGCCUAUAUGACAGAUUGAAGAAGAGAAAUUUGCCUGGAGUCUUUGCAUACGUGAUCCCUGUCAAAUAAAACCAGAUGGUGUUCUGCAGAUCUGAAAUGAAAUGAAGACUAUUUUUCAAUCUGUCGUGAAACUACACCAAGGGAGGAGUGCAGCUGAUUUACUGGUUUAUGGACACAAAAUCCACUAAGGAGUGCUACCUAAGGAAUGCUAGCUAUUGAAUUUGGAACUCUGAAUUACCUGAAGUAUGGACAUCGUGUGUAAACAGUUAAAUCCUUAGUAACUGAAGUUGUAUUCUAAACCCUUUGUGGUAGGAACUGUCUGUCUCUAUGUGCUGAUACAGUACCUAUACACAAUGAAACAUUAAUCCUGGCUGGAGUCCAUGAAUGCAGCUACUGUAAUACAAAUAA
Molecule: long non-coding RNA, 489 nt
Organism: Mauremys mutica (yellowpond turtle)
Lineage: Eukaryota; Metazoa; Chordata; Testudines; Geoemydidae
Exons: 3
Source: RefSeq, a predicted model, not a curated record